RNAcentral lists this ribosomal RNA (433 nucleotides) under uncultured bacterium. RNAcentral describes it as "partial 16S ribosomal RNA". It matches the Rfam family "Bacterial small subunit ribosomal RNA", at positions 29 to 507 of the family's 1533-position model. The record is from RNAcentral.
AACGAACGCUGGCGGCAUGCCUAACACAUGCAAGUCGAACGAGACCUUCGGGUCUAGUGGCGCACGGGUGCGUAACGCGUGGGAACCUGCCCUUAGGUUCGGAAUAACUCCCCGAAAGGGGUGCUAAUACCGGAUAAUGUCUUCGGACCAAAGAUUUAUCGCCUUUGGAUGGGCCCGCGUUGGAUUAGCUAGUUGGUAGGGUAAAAGCCUACCAAGGCGACGAUCCAUAGCUGGUCGGAGAGGAUGAUCAGCCACACUGGGACUGAGACACGGCCCAGACUCCUACGGGAGGCAGCAGUGGAGAAUAUUGGACAAUGGGCGAAAGCCUGAUCCAGCAAUGCCGCGUGAGUGAUGAAGGCCUUAGGGUUGUAAAGCUCUUUUACCCGGGAUGAUAAUGACAGUACCGGGAGAAUAAGCUCCGGCUAACUCCGUG